AUUGGAUCCAGACUUUGAUUCUGGCUCAGGAUGAACUCUGGCGGCGUGCCUAAUACAUGCAAGUCGAACGAAUCUUCUUCGGAAGAUGAGUGGCGAACGGGUGAGUAAUACAUAGGUAACCUGCCCCUGUGCGGGGGAUAACAGGAGGAAACUCCUGCUAAUACCGCAUAGCCAUGAGCACCGCAUGGAGCUCAUGCCAAAUAUCCUUCAGGGGAUAGCGCAGGGAUGGACCUAUGGCGCAUUAGCUAGUUGGCGGGGCAACGGCCCACCAAGGCAACGAUGCGUAGCCGGCCUGAGAGGGCGGACGGCCACAUUGGGACUGAGACACGGCCCAGACUCCUACGGGAGGCAGCAGUAGGGAAUUUUCGGCAAUGGGGGAAACCCUGACCGAGCAACGCCGCGUGAGCGAAGAAGGCCUUCGGGUCGUAAAGCUCUGUUGUAAAGGAAGAACGUCGCAUGCAGGAAAUGGUGUGCGAGUGACGGUACUUUACCAG
RNAcentral lists this ribosomal RNA (494 nucleotides) under uncultured organism. RNAcentral describes it as "bacterial SSU rRNA". It matches the Rfam family "Bacterial small subunit ribosomal RNA", at positions 1 to 486 of the family's 1533-position model. The record is from RNAcentral.